RNAcentral lists this long non-coding RNA (1138 nucleotides) under Sus scrofa (pig). RNAcentral describes it as "lncRNA (ENSSSCG00060000040.1)". The record is from RNAcentral. Lineage: Eukaryota; Metazoa; Chordata; Mammalia; Artiodactyla; Suidae.
AUUUUAUGGCCACAAAAAAAAAAACACGAAGUUCUCGGGCCAAGGAAUGAAUCCCAUGCCACAGCUGUAGCAACGCUGGACCCUUUAACCCACUGCCCUGGGCUGCGGAUUGAACCUGAACCUCUGUAGUGACCUGAACCGCAUCAGAUUCUUUUUUUCUUUUUUAUGGCCACAGCUGCGGCAUAUGAAGUUCCUGGGGUAGGGGUCAAAAUGGAGCUGCAGCUGCAGGCCUACACCAUAGCCACAGCAACACCAGAUCUGAGCUGCACCUGCGACUUUAUACCACAGAUCAUAGCAAUGCAGGAUCCUUAACCCCCUGAGCAAGGCAGGGAUCAAACCCACUGGUUCUUAGCCCACUGAGCCACAGGGGAAAUCCUGCAAUCAGAUUCUUAACCCACUGCACCAAAGAGGGAACUCCAGAAGUGGCUUAUUUUAAGCUGAGUUCAAGAAAUAUACAAUGAUAGGGAGUUCCCAUCAUGGUUCAGUGGCAACAAACCCAACUAGGCUCCAUGAGGAGGUGGGUUUGAUUCCAGACCUCACUCAGUGGGUUAAGGAUCCAGUGUUGCUGUGGUGUAGGUUGCAGAAAGGACUCAGACCCUGUGCUGUUGUGGCUGCAGCAUAGGAUGUCAGCUAUAGCUCUAAUAUGACCCCUAGCCUGGGAACUUCCACAUGCCACGAGUGCAGCCCUAAAAAAGCAAGAAAAUAAAAGUAUAUAAUCCUAAAAUAUGUAAAACUGAAGUUAUACCCAUAUAUACUAUAAUAAAAAAAUUCAUGCUACUCCUAAGGACAAUAUUAUUUUAUGAAGGUGUUUUCGCUACUAUAUAAAUCUUAAUUUUUUUCUUAAUGAUAAAGGUUCAUAUUUUCAAUGUAACUUGAUACUAGGUAUGGGUUAAUAUUUUGUUUUUUAUUUUAUUUUUUGCUUUUUAGGGCCGCAGGUGCAGCAUAUGCAAGUUCCCAGGCUAGAAGUCUAUUUGGAGCUACAGCUGCCAACCUCCACCACAGCCACAGCAACUUGGGAUCCAAGCCAUGUCUGUGACCUACACUACAGCUUUUGGCAAUGCCAAAUCCAUAACCCACUGAGUGAGGCCAGGGAUCAAACCCACAUCCUCAUGGAUACUAGUCAGAUUCGUUUCCACUG